Molecule: transfer RNA, 65 nt
Filed under: Amynthas aspergillum
Lineage: Eukaryota; Metazoa; Annelida; Clitellata; Crassiclitellata; Megascolecidae
Description: Amynthas aspergillus tRNA-Glu
Source: RNAcentral
GUGUGUAUAGUGUAAAUAAAACACCUUAGCUUUUCAUGCUAAAAAUAUAUAAAGUAUUACACACC